GCACCAGAAGUAGAUAGUCUAACCUUAGGGAGGGCGUUUACCACGGUGUGCUUUCAUGACUGGGCUAAAGUCGUAACAAGGUAUCCGUAGGGGAACCUGUGGCUGGAUCACCUCCUU
RNAcentral lists this ribosomal RNA (117 nucleotides) under uncultured SAR86 cluster bacterium. Its description in RNAcentral is "partial 16S ribosomal RNA". It matches the Rfam family "Bacterial small subunit ribosomal RNA", at positions 1417 to 1532 of the family's 1533-position model. Lineage: Bacteria; Pseudomonadati; Pseudomonadota; Gammaproteobacteria. The record is from RNAcentral.